UGGGGCCACCCUUUUUAAUAAUGUCCCUAAACUAGUAUAAAACAAAAGGGUCAAUUAUUCCGUGUUCACUGGAAACUAAUCCCAGGAAAACAAAAGUGAGGUUACUCCUUUGUUUUCUUUUUUUUUUUCCUUAUCAACUUAGAAAAUCAAAAUAAACCUUAAGAGAAAACAUGAGGUGGCACCUGGAGUACUAGUACUCGACUUCUUCUCCUUCUCUCGACAUCCACGAAUUCAUUAGAAGAGGAAGGGAAGAAAGAAUUUUUAUGAUAAUUUUGAAAUAAUCUUUGAAGGGUGUUUUCAAUAACCUAAAGUUGGAGUUGAAUUUUAAAAGGUAAAUUCUCUACCCCUUUCUUGAAUUUGACUAUAAAUAAGUAUCUUGGAGAUGUUUAAUUUGUAUCUUUGCACUACUACUUGAAUUGGGUUCGUGAAUGAAAAAGGGGGAAAAUGGAGAAUUUUGUUUAAAGAGGGGCUUUUGGGAAUUUCUAUAAAUUGAGUGGUUUAACAUGGAACUAUAUAAGUUGAAAAGUUAAAGGAUUCAUUUGGAAUGCUUAUUAAAGAAUUCGGUUGAUUUUGGGUAUGAUCGAUGAAUAUGGAACUAAACUAUUAAAUGUUCCUAUAAGUUACUAAUGAACGCAUAUGUUAUUCGUGCAGUUAGUGGAUUGCCUUUUUGAUAGUGAAACUUGGUGGUUGGAAAUAUAAAAACUAUACUCCCGCGUGUAGCGUCAUUUGGGGACCUGAAAUACCAUCCUACCUAGUGAAGUCUUUAGGCCAUAGUAUAUAUGUGGAUACCACAUGUAAGGAGUAAAAGUAAAUAGUAAUGGCAUAGUUGUAUUUGUAUAUGUUAUCUAGACGAUCAUUAUCAUAACUCAUAUGUCAUAGGCGUUUAAAGCAUUAUUUGGUAAACAUUAACGACGAGAGGAUACAUAGGUUUGGCUUGGCAUACCACUUGACGUGAUUCUGUGCACAAGAUCGAGAUCAGACCACUAUAGUGAGCCCAACCAUUGGACGUACCCGCCUUUGUGGCAUCAUUUACAUUUGGAGUCAGUUGGAACAUCAUGUAUUGGUUUUCCCUGACUCGAUCCAACAUAUGAAAUAUAUGGCCUGCGGGCAGACGCUCAUAGUGAGCCCCUAGAUGGGGCGUGCCUGGAUACAGACUGCGAUUACAGUUAUACAUGUGGGAUCAUAGCAAUGAGUAUGUGAGCAACAUAUGCUUUAUACUUGCCUUAGAUUGCCUUCGGAAGGCCAUCUUGUGAUCAUUUGUAUGAUUUAUAGGAUAAGUGCAUCGCUUAGACAAAGUAUUGGUUCUAUAUUAUAAUGAACGUUUUUCUAAAUAUUAUAUAUGAUGCUAAUAAAAUUGGUGCAUAAGUUAUUAGUUCAUAUUGUAUAGGUGUUAUUUGUUGGCCCAUACAUUUUUCACUUUACCACUUGACUCAUAUGAGCUUCUGUAUUUGUCUAGCCGUUAUUCUGUCUGCUUUUAACCCGGUACAUGUUGUUUAUGUACUGACGUCUUAGGCCUACUAUGUUUUAAUAAUGCAGGCUCCGAUCCUCCUGAUAGAAGACAUCCACGUUAGGCUCUCUUGCCGUUUUCAGUUGAUAUUUUGAUGAGCUCCAAUUCCCUCUGGACAGAUCUCUGGUUAGGCAUGACGGGCCUAAUGACAACUAGUCAUUUGUAGUAUAGUGUGUUAAACUGACUAGAGGCUUCAUGGAUAUCAUGUAGUAUUGUAUAGUUUCGUUAAUGUAAAUCUCCCGUGUACAUAUGCAAUGCUUAUCGAAUAUCCUACUCGUUAUUAUCUUAUAACCUCGCGUACGUCGUAAAGUACUUGUAGAGUAAGUGUAUACAGUUCUUGUUCGUCAUUACCAUUUUGGGGCUGACAAACUUGGUAUUAGAGCACCUAGGUUCAAGUGUCCUAGGAAGUCUAUGAAGCCAUGUCUAGUAGGACUUUACUUAUCUAUGUGUUGCGCACCACAUUUAUAAUUAAGGGACUACAUGGAUAUUUAAGAAUUUGACCUUUAUAUAUAAUCUAGAUCGUGCAGUAGAGUUAAGUUAUAGGAAGACUUCUGACUCAUAUUCUGUUUAUUUGUGAUACAGACUAUGUCUGCUACAGAAAAGGAUAAAGCAGCCAGCAGGUCGCUACUACACUACUCAGGAGGCAACCACUACCUGGCUAUCUCCUGUAUUGGUGGAUCUGAAUAGGACUCAAGGAAGUUUGUUUGGUUCUAUGCUUCCAGGUUCUCAAACUCCUGGAACGAAAGGACUUACAGGGGUUUAUGCACCUCCAGUGGUGCCAAUGGUACUUCCUAUCUCGCCACCAAGUGCCUCAAACCUAGAUCUUAAGGGAGCAAUAUAGUUGCUUACACAAUUGGUCGCCGCUUAGGCCCAAAGACAGAGUGUGGAUGUACCUAUUGCUACUCAAGGAGGGAUAGCUGAAUUUAGGAUCAAAGAUUUCCUUCGUAUGAACCCACCAGAAUUCACAGGUUCUAAGCUUGCGGAGGGUCCUUAACAAUUCAUUGAUAAGGCUUAUAGAGUUUGUAAGGUAAUGCGGGUUUCGAAUACAUAUACAGUUGAAUUGGCCGCCCAUCGACUGAAAGAUAUUUUUGUUGAUUGGUAUAAGAUGUGGGUUGCCUCGAGAGGUCAGGAAGCUCCUCCAGCAGUCUGGCCAGAAUUUGCAGAAGCCUUCAUAGAUCAUUUCAUGCCAUUAGAGCUCAGAGAGGCGAAGGUGGAUGGAUUUCUAUCUUUAAAGUAGGGUAAUCUUAGUGUCAAGGAGUAUUGUUUGCGAUUUAUGCAGUUGUCAAAUAUGCUCCAGAGGUGGUUAGCACACAAGUAAAAUGGAUUCAUUGCUUUGUGAAUGGCCUUGCGGGUCCCUUAAAGGACCUUUUUUCCAUUGCUGCUAUGAAUAAGGAUUUGGAUAUAGCAAGGAUCAUGGCACGUGCCCAGAAGAUAGAGGAAGAUCAACAUAAUCUUAAAAUAGAUAGUGAAAGGGAGCAGGGUAAGAGAGCUAGGAUGACCAACCAGUAUCAGGGAAGCGGUGGAGCUACCACUAGUAGAGGGCCACCUAGGCAAACCCAGUCAACUGUGCACUCCACAUCUAAUGCUCCAAAUUAGUUCUUGAGGCAUAGGUAUGAGCAGAUCCAGACUUCUAUAUCACCAGACUUACGACCAUAGAGGGGCGUCAGUUAAGGGUUACCACCUCGACCUACAUGCAGGCAGUGUGGCCAACCACAUAGAGGAGAGUGUCAGCAUGGUUUAAAUGUGUGUUACUGAUGUGGUAUAGAGGGUCAUAUAGUACGUGAUUUCCACAACUCAGAGGUAAAUGUAGAGGUGACUGACCACAACCUAUAGGGUCUGCAUCAGCUUCAUCUUCAUCAGUGCCUUCUUCUUCUCCCAGUCCUCAGGCAUCAGCAGACAGAGAAUCUGGUAGAGACAGAGGUCCUAGUUCGAGUGCAGGCCGAAACCAUAUGCAUGAAUUAGCUGGUCGACAAGAUUCAUAGGCAUCUCCAGAUGUGGUCAUAGGUACCUUAGCUGUCUUUUCAUAUGAUGUAUAUGACCUGAUAAACCUAGGAUCUACGUUGUCGUAUGUUACUCCAUUUGUGGUUAAGAAGUUUGGAGUGGAGCCAGAGUUAUUGCGAGAACCAUUUGUGGUAUCAACUCCAGUGGGAGAUUCUAUUAUAGCUAGAAGGGUUUAUUAUGAUUGUGGGGUGACAGUAUGUAGUCGUGCUACAUUGGCUAAUCUGAUUGAACUUGAAAUGGUUGAUUUUAAUGUUAUUAUAGGUAUGGAUUGGUUAUCCUCUUGUUAUUCUACAGUUGAUUGUCGAGCCAAAAUAGCUCAUUUCCACUUCCCAGGAGAGCCAGUCUUAGAGUGGAUAGGUGACUUUAUGAUGCCUAGAGGGAGGUUUAUUUCCUUUUUUAAGGCACGAAAGCUUAUCGCAAAGGGGUGUUUGUAUCACCUAGCCCAAGUGAAAGACAUUGAGGCAGAAAAACAGGCUCCAACUCUAGAAUCUGUACCAGUGGUGAACGAGUACUCAGAUGUGUUUCCUAAUGAACUUCCUGGAUUACCUCUUAUUAGAGAGAUAGAUUUUGGUAUUGAUGUGGAUCCCAGUAUGCAACCAAUAUCAAUUCCACCUUAUAGAAUGGCGCCUACAGAAUUGAAAGAUUUAAAAGAACAGUUAAAAAACUUACUUGAUAAAGGUUUCAUUCGGCCCAGUAUAUCACCUUGGGGUGCGCCAGUGCUUUUUUAUACAAGAAAGAUGACACAUUGUGAAUGUGUAUAGAUUAUAGACAGCUGAACAAAGUGACAAUAAAUACUAAGUGCCCUCUCCCCCUAAUAAAUAAUUUAUUCAAUCAAUUGCAGAGAGCUAAAUGCUUUUCAAAGAUCAAUUUGAGGUCUGGUUAUGACCAGUUAAGAAUUCGUGAAGCAGAUAUUCCCAAAACAACCUUUCAGACAAGAUAUGGGCACUUUGAGUUUCUUGUCAUGUUAUUUGGGCUAACGAAUGCACUGGAAGCCUUCAUGGACAUGAUGGAUAGGAUUUUCAAACCCUUCCUUGAUAUAUACGUGAGUGUAUUUAUAGAUGAUAUUUGGAUAUAUUCACGUAAUUAAGUUGAGCAUGCAGAUCAUUUAAGGUCGGUAUUAUAGAGGCUCGGAGAGCACCAGUUAUAUGCUAAGUUCUCUAAGGGUGAGUUUUGAUUGACCUCGGUAACCUUUCUUGGUCAUGUGGUAUCUGGAGAAGGCAUCUGAGUAGAUUUUUAGAAUAUAGAAGCUGUGAAAAUUGGCCUCGACCAACCACUCCUACUGAGGUGCGUAGUUUCUUGGGGCUAGCAAGUUACUAUAGGAUAUUUGUGGAGGAUUUUUCCUCUAUAUCUGCCCCAUUGACCAAAUUGACACAGAAAGCAGUUAAGUACCAGUGGUCAGAUGCUUGUGAAAGAAGUUUUCAAGAGCUGAAACAUAGAUUAACUACCGCGCCAGUGUUAGCCUUACCAGACGGCAUAGAAGGAUAUGUGGUGUACUGUGAUGCUUCAGGUGUUAGUUUGGGUUGCAUCCUAAUGCAGCAUGGAAGAGUUAUAGCGUACGCUUCUUGACAAUUAAAGAAGCAUAAAUAGAACUAUCCCACGUAUGACUUAGAGCUUGCAGCAGUGGUAUUUCCACUACAAAUUUGGCUUCAUUAUUUAUAUGGAGUGCAUAUUGAUAUAUUUACGGAUCAUAAGAGUCUUCAAUAUCUAUUCAAGCAUAAAGAGCUAAAUCUGAUACAGAGGAAGUGGCUAGAGUUAUUGAAAGACUAUGAUGUCAAUAUUCUCUAUCAUUCGGGCAAGGGUAAUAUUGUAGCUGUGCUCUUAGUUAACUAUCCAUGGGUAGUCUAGCACAUCUGCCACCUGUUCAAUGGGAAGUAGUGAGAGAUGUUCACAAAUUGGCCAAUCUGGGCGUUCACCUUAUGGAUUCUGAAGAUGGUGGCGUUGUCGUACUUAAUUCAGCCGAGUCAUUGCUUGUGGCAUCAUUUAAGCAGAAGUAGUAUGAUGAUCCCUUAUUGUUCCAGUACAGAGAGGGAAUUCAACAACAUCAAGUCAUAAUAUUUAAGUUAGCAAGCAAUGGUACUUUGAGGUGUCGAGGCAGAUUAUGUGUACCUGAUGUAAACGGGUUGCGAUAACAGAUUAUGGCUGAGGCACAUUGCUCUCAUUAUUCAAUUCAUUCCGGCUCUACAAAAAUGUAUCAUGAUCUUAAAGAGAUCUACUGGUGGAAUAACAUGAAGAAAGAUAUAGCAGAAUAUGUGGCACAUUACUCUAAUUAUCAGCAAGUGAAAGCGGAACAUCAAAGACCCGGUAGCCUAGCUCAAACCUUUAGUAUUCCUGUAUGGAAAUGGGAUGCUAUUAAUAUGGACUUUGUUGUAGGCUUACCUUUUUUUUAUCGGAAACAUGACUCUAUUUGGGUAAUAGUUGAUCGAUUGACAAAAUCAGCCCAUUUUCUUCCUGUUAAAUCUACCAGCACGGCUGGAGAUUAUGCCAAGUUAUAUGUAAAAGAGAUUGUCCAUCUACAUGGGACCCCAAUGUCCAUUAUUUCAGAUAGAGGUUCCCUGUUUAAAGCUCAGUUUUGGAGAUCAUUCCAUAAGAGCUUAGGUACGCAGGUGAACCUUAGUAUUGCAUUUCAUCUUCAGACAGACGGCUAAGCUGAGCACACCAUUCAAACGCUCGAAGAUAUAUUGAGAACGUGUGUGCUAUAUUUUAAAGGUAAUUGGGAUGAUCAUUUUCCUUUGAUAGAAUUUGCUUAUAAUAACAGUUAUCACUCUAGCAUUGACAUGGCUCUAUUUGAAAUUUUAUAUGAAAGACGAUGUAGAUCGUGUAUUGGUUGGUUCGAAGUAGGUAAUAUAUAGGUAUUGGGUUCGGACCUUGGUCUAUCAAGCCGACAAAAAUGUUAAACUGAUACGAGAGUGGUUAAAGACUACCUAGAGUAGGCAAAAAUUGUAUACGGAUGUACGAUGUAGAGAUUUUGAAUUUCAAAUUAAUGAUUUCAUGUUCUUGAAGGUGUCUCCUAUGAAAGGCAUUAUGAGAUUUGGUAAGAAGGGUAAGUUAAGUCCCAGGUAUAUGGACCUAUAGAGUUAUUCGCAGAAUUGGCCAAGUAGCCUAUGAGCUAGAAUUACCUCGAGAGUUAGCUGCAGUGCAUCCGGUCUUUCAUGUGUCUAUGCUACGUAAAUACUUAGGAGAACGGUAUCUAGUCAUCCCUAUAAAGGGGAUUGAGUUGUACGGAGACUUAUUAUUUGAGGAGGUCCCCGUGUCUAUAUUGGUUUGGCAGGUCAAAAAGUUGAGAACUAGAGACAUAGCUUCAGUAAAGGUGUUAUGGAGGAAUCAAAAUAUAGAAUAAGCCACUUGGGAAGCAGAAAAGGAUAUGAAAACUAAAUACCCUUAUUUAUUUCCAAAACUAUCAAAAGGUUCUUAAACUAUGUGUCGCUUUAUGUGAUCAUUAGCUUCUACUAUAUUUUGUUCUGUUGAUAUCUGAUUCUUACCUGAUAUAUUUAGGUACAUGAUUUAUGCCUAUGAGCCUUGAGAUUUACAUGGAAACAACAUCCAGAUGCAGAGUAUAAGGUAAGUUAUGACUUUUUAAUGGUGUUUAAGGCCAAAAGGAGCCUUGUGUACUAUUGUUUUUGAGUUUAAGGCCAAGUGGAGCCUUUUAUGUUAUUUGUUGAAUAUUAUAUGUGUUGUGACGCUCUGUGAAGCGCAUUUGGAUGUAUUCUGGCUAGCUGACAGGUACCCGAUAGUCCUAUUUACAAAGAAAACUCUGGCGAAUUUUUGGAAAUUUAGGUAGUUAGUCAAAUUUAAGGCCUUGCGAUGGAUCAAGUGAGGACCGAAAUUGAUUAAAUGAUCUUAGAAUACCUUGGAUAGUUAUGGAAUGGAAGUUAAGGUACUAUCAUCAUUCGAGGAUGAAUGAUCCUAAGUGGGGGAGAUUGUAGCACCUCGAGAAAAAAUUUGAAUUAACAACUUGAAUUAAGUAGAACUUUGACUUAUAAAGAUAAUUACGGUACAAAAGAAAAGCAAAUGGAAUAGAACACAUAUAUACACAAUAUUUGUAUGUUUUUGCAUUUAAGAGGAGGAUUUGAAAGUAUUGUUAUUUAUGUGAUACAAGUGUACAAGUUGUGGGGGCCACCCUUUUUAAUAAUGUCCCUAAACUAGUAUAAAACAAAAGGGUUAAUUAUUCCCUUGUUCGCUGGAAACUAAUCCCAGGAAACCAAAAGUGAGGUUACUCUUUUGUUUUCUUUCUUUUCCUUAUCAACUUGGAAAAUCAAAAUAAACCUUAAGAGAAAACAUGAGGCAGCAGCUGGAGUACUAGUACUCGACUUCCUCUCCUUCUCUCGGCAUCUAUAAAUUCAUUAGAAGAGGAAGGGAGGAAAGGAUUCUUAUGAUAAUUUAAAAUAAUAUUUGAGGGGUGACUUCAAUAACCUAAAUUUGGAGUUGAAUUUUAAAAGUUAAAUUCUCCACCCCUUUCUUGAAUUUGAAGUAUCUUGGAGAUAUUUAAUUUGUAUCUUUGCACUACGACUUGAAUUGGGUUCAUGAAAGAAAAAGGGGGAAAAUGGAGAAUUUUGUAUAAAGAGGAGCUUUUGGGGAUUUCUAUAAAUUGAGUGGUUUAACAUGGAAUUGUAUAAGUUGAAAAGUUAAAGGAUUCAUUUGGAAUGCUUAUAAAAGAAUUAGGUUGAUUUUGGGUAUGAUCGAUGAAUAUGGAACUAAGCUGUUAAAUGUUCCUAUGAGUUACUAAUGGACGGAUAUGUUAUCCGUGCAGUUAGUGGAUUGCCUUUUUGAUAGCGGAACUUGGUGGUAGGACAUAUAAAAGCUAUACUCCUACGUGUAGCAUCAUUUGGGGACCUGAAAUACUAUCCUGCCUAGCUAAGCACUAAGGUAUGUAAAGUUAAACCUUUCCUUGCUGCUAAGGCACCACCCAACGUCAUGUUCUCCUUUCCAUUUGAUGUUAGUAUAAUUCUCAUAAAAAAUGAGAGUGGAAUAUCUAUAUUGCCUUACAUAUACUAUCAAGCUUAUAAGUAUCUAUCUUUCCCUCUUUAUGUUAAAUUUCCAUGAUACUUUCAUAUUAUCAUAAGUUUCUAUACUUGAAGCCUUUAGGUCAUAGUAUAUAUGUGGAUACCACACGUUAGGAGUAAAAGUAAAUAGUAAUGGCAUGGUUGCAUUUGUAUAUGUUAUCUAGAGGAUCAUCAUCAUAACUCAUAUGUCAUAGGCCUUCAAAGCAUUAUUUGAUAAACAUUAACGAUGGAAGGGUACAUAGGUUUGGCUUGGCAUACCGCUCAACAUGAUUCUGUGCACUGGAUCGAGACCAGACCAUUAUAGCGAGCCUAACCAUUGGGCGUACCAGCCUUUGUGGCAUCAUUUGUAUUUAAAGUCAGUUAGAACGUCAUGUAUUGGUUUCCCCUGACUCGAGCCAACAUAUGGCAUAAAUGGCCUGUGGGAAGACUCUCAAAGUGAGCCCCUGGGCGGGGCGUACCUAGAUACAGACUGUGAUUACAUUUAUACAUGUGGGAUCAUAGCAAUGAGUAUGUGAGCAACAUAUGCUUUAUACUUGCCUUAGAUUGCCUUUGGAAGGCCAUCUGUGAUAAUUUGUCCGAUAUAUAGGAUAAUUUCAUCAUCAUGACAAAGUAUAGGUUCUAUAUUAUAAUGAACAUUUUUCUAAAUAUUAUAUAUGAUGCUAUGGUGCAUAAGUUAUUAGUUCAUAUCGUAUAGGUGUUAUUUGUUGGCUCAUACAUUUUUCACUUUACCACUUGACUCAUAUAAGAUUCUGUAUUUGUCUAGCCGUUAUUUUAUCUUUUUUUAUACCGGUACAUGUUGUUUAUGUACUGACAUCUCAGGCCCACUAUGUUUUAAUAAUGUAGGCUCCGAUACUCUUGAUAACGGACGUCCAUGUUAGGAUCUAUUGCCGUUUUCAGCUGAUAUUUUGGUGAGCUCUAACUCCCUCUGGAGUCGGUUUAUGCCUAGUAUUUUUUAUUAUAUGUACAAAUCUAUAGUUAGGCAUGAUGGGCCUAAUGCCAACUAGUCAUUUGUAGUAUAGUGUGUUAAACUGACUAGAGGCUUCAUGGACAUCGUGUAGUAUUGUAUAGUUUUGUUAAUGUAACUCUCCUAUGUACAUAUGCAACAUUUAUCGAAUAUCCUACCC
Molecule: long non-coding RNA, 9632 nt
Filed under: Capsicum annuum
Lineage: Eukaryota; Viridiplantae; Streptophyta; Magnoliopsida; Solanales; Solanaceae
Description: long non-coding RNA (CANN_LNC017884)
Source: RNAcentral